RNAcentral lists this transfer RNA (72 nucleotides) under Candidatus Parcubacteria bacterium. It matches the Rfam family "tRNA". Rfam says of the family: Transfer RNA (tRNA) molecules are approximately 80 nucleotides in length. Their secondary structure includes four short double-helical elements and three loops (D, anti-codon, and T loops). Further hydrogen bonds mediate the characteristic L-shaped molecular structure. tRNAs have two regions of fundamental functional importance: the anti-codon, which is responsible for specific mRNA codon recognition, and the 3' end, to which the tRNAs corresponding amino acid is attached (by aminoacyl-tRNA synthetases). tRNAs cope with the degeneracy of the genetic code in two manners: having more than one tRNA (with a specific anti-codon) for a particular amino acid; and 'wobble' base-pairing, i.e. permitting non-standard base-pairing at the 3rd anti-codon position. The record is from Rfam by way of RNAcentral. Lineage: Bacteria; Candidatus Parcubacteria.
UCCUCUGUAGCUCAGCGGUAGAGCAGUUGCCUGUUAAGCAAUUGGUCGUAGGUUCGAUCCCUACCGGAGGAG